This 253-nucleotide ribosomal RNA is filed under the name uncultured bacterium. RNAcentral describes it as "partial 16S ribosomal RNA". It matches the Rfam family "Bacterial small subunit ribosomal RNA", at positions 524 to 776 of the family's 1533-position model. The record is from RNAcentral.
UACGAAGGGGGCUAGCGUUGUUCGGAAUUACUGGGCGUAAAGCGCACGUAGGCGGACUGAUUAGUUGGUGGUGAAAUCCCAGGGCUCAACCUUGGAACUGCCAUCAAUACUGUCAGUCUGGAGCAGAGUAGAGGUUAGUGGAAUUCCAAGUGUAGAGGUGAAAUUCGUAGAUAUUUGGAGGAACACCAGUGGCGAAGGCGACUGACUGGACUCUUGCUGACGCUGAGGUGCGAAAGCGUGGGGAGCAAACAGG